RNAcentral lists this ribosomal RNA (301 nucleotides) under uncultured bacterium. RNAcentral's name for it is "partial 16S ribosomal RNA". It matches the Rfam family "Bacterial small subunit ribosomal RNA", at positions 509 to 807 of the family's 1533-position model. The record is from RNAcentral.
CAGUCGCCGCGGUAAUACGUAGGGUGCGAGCGUUAAUCGGAAUUACUGGGCGUAAAGCGUGCGCAGGCGGUUAUAUAAGACAGAUGUGAAAUCCCCGGGCUCAACCUGGGACCUGCAUUUGUGACUGUAUAGCUAGAGUACGGUAGAGGGGGAUGGAAUUCCGCGUGUAGCAGUGAAAUGCGUAGAUAUCGGAAGGAACACCAGUGGCGAAGGCGGCUACCUGGACUGAGACUGACACUGAGGCGCGUGAGCGUGGGGAGCAAACAGGAUUAGAUACCCCAGUAGUCCCUGUCUCUUAUAC